Molecule: non-coding RNA, 26 nt
Filed under: Mus musculus (house mouse)
Lineage: Eukaryota; Metazoa; Chordata; Mammalia; Rodentia; Muridae
Source: RNAcentral
UGCCUGGAACGUCCCUGACUGAACGA